UGGGGAAUAUUGGACAAUGGGGGAAACCCUGAUCCAGCCAUGCCGCGUGAGUGAUGAAGGCCUUAGGGUUGUAAAGCUCUUUUACCAGGGAAGAUGAUGACGGUACCUGGAGAAUAAGCACCGGCUAACUUCGUGCCAGCAGCCGCGGUAAUACGAAGGGUGCUAGCGUUGUUCGGAAUCACUGGGCGUAAAGCGCGCGUAGGCGGCUUUUCAAGUCAGGGGUGAAAUCCUUGGGCUCAACCCAAGAAUUGCCUUUGAAACUGUAAAGCUGGAGUGUCGGAGGGGAUAGCGGAAUUCCUAAUGUAGUGGUGAAAUACGUAGAUAUUAGGAGGAACACCGGUGGCGAAGGCGGCUAUCUGGACGACAACUGACGCUGAGGCGCGAAAGCGUGGGGAUCAAACAGGAUUAGAUACCCCGGUAGUCC
Molecule: ribosomal RNA, 424 nt
Filed under: uncultured bacterium
Lineage: Bacteria
Description: bacterial SSU rRNA
Rfam family: Bacterial small subunit ribosomal RNA
Source: RNAcentral